UACGUAGGGGGCAAGCGUUGUCCGGAUUUAUUGGGCGUAAAGAGCGUGUAGGCGGUCAGGUAGGUCGGUUGUGAAAACUGGAGGCUCAACCUUCAGAGGUCGACCGAAGCCCCCUGGCUAGAGUCCGGGAGAGGAGAGUGGAAUUCCUGGUGUAGCGGUGAAAUGCGCAGAUAUCAGGAAGAACACCCGUGGCGAAAGCGGCUCUCUGGAACGGUACUGACGCUGAGACGCGAAAGCGUGGGGAGCGAACAGG
RNAcentral lists this ribosomal RNA (253 nucleotides) under uncultured bacterium. RNAcentral describes it as "partial 16S ribosomal RNA". It matches the Rfam family "Bacterial small subunit ribosomal RNA", at positions 524 to 776 of the family's 1533-position model. The record is from RNAcentral.